UACGUAGGGCGCAAGCGUUAUCCGGAAUUAUUGGGCGUAAAGAGCUCGUAGGCGGUUUGUCGCGUCUGCCGUGAAAGUCCGGGGCUCAACUCCGGAUCUGCGGUGGGUACGGGCAGACUAGAGUGAUGUAGGGGAGACUGGAAUUCCUGGUGUAGCGGUGAAAUGCGCAGAUAUCAGGAGGAACACCGAUGGCGAAGGCAGGUCUCUGGGCAUUAACUGACGCUGAGGAGCGAAAGCUAGGGGAGCAAACGGG
Molecule: ribosomal RNA, 253 nt
Filed under: uncultured bacterium
Lineage: Bacteria
Description: partial 16S ribosomal RNA
Rfam family: Bacterial small subunit ribosomal RNA
Source: RNAcentral